Molecule: ribosomal RNA, 273 nt
Filed under: uncultured bacterium
Lineage: Bacteria
Description: partial 16S ribosomal RNA
Rfam family: Bacterial small subunit ribosomal RNA
Source: RNAcentral
GUCCUGGCCGUAAACGAUGUCCACUAGAUUGAGGAUCUUUUGACGGACCCUCGGUCGAAGCAAAAGCGUUAAGUGGACCGCCUGGGAAGUACGGUCGCAAGGCUAAAACUCAAAGGAAUUGACGGGGGCUCACACAAGCGGUGGAGCAUGUUGCUUAAUUCGAUGCAACGCGAAGAACCUUAUCCUGGGCUUGAAAAGCAUGGAUACGGCGCCCGAAAUGGACGUCCGUUGCCCUUCGGGGUUAAACAUGUACAGGUGCUGCAUGGCUGUCGU